This 207-nucleotide ribosomal RNA is filed under the name uncultured bacterium. RNAcentral's name for it is "partial 16S ribosomal RNA". It matches the Rfam family "Bacterial small subunit ribosomal RNA", at positions 568 to 774 of the family's 1533-position model. The record is from RNAcentral.
CGCGCAGGCGGCCAGGUAAGUCGAAUGUGAAAGCCCCCGGCUCAACUGGGGAGGGUCAUUCGAUACUGCUUGGCUUGAAGGUAGGAGAGGGAAGCGGAAUUUCAGGUGUAGUGGUGAAAUGCGUAGAUAUCUGAAGGAACACCAGUGGCGAAGGCGGCUUUCUGGCCUGUUCUUGACGCUGAGGCGCGAAAGCUAGGGGAGCGAACG